This 373-nucleotide ribosomal RNA is filed under the name uncultured organism. Its description in RNAcentral is "bacterial SSU rRNA". It matches the Rfam family "Bacterial small subunit ribosomal RNA", at positions 526 to 896 of the family's 1533-position model. The record is from RNAcentral.
CGUAGGUGGCAAGCGUUGUCCGGAAUUAUUGGGCGUAAAGCGCGCGCAGGCGGUUCCUUAAGUCUGAUGUGAAAGCCCCCGGCUCAACCGGGGAAGGUCAUUGGAAACUGGGGAACUUGAGUGCAGAAGAGAAGAGCGGAAUUCCACGUGUAGCGGUGAAAUGCGUAGAGAUGUGGAGGAACACCAGUGGCGAAGGCGGCUCUUUGGUCUGUAACUGACGCUGAGGCGCGAAAGCGUGGGGGAGCAAACAGGAUUAGAUACCCUGGUAGUCCACGCCGUAAACGAUGAGUGCUAAGUGUUAGAGGGUUUCCGCCCUUUAGUGCUGCAGCUAACGCAUUAAGCACUCCGCCUGGGGAGUACGGCCGCAAGGCUG